Epinephelus moara (kelp grouper) is the source of this 314-nucleotide long non-coding RNA. RefSeq lists it as uncharacterized. The record is from RefSeq and is a predicted model, not a curated record. The transcript is spliced from 3 exons. NCBI's taxonomy places the organism in Eukaryota, Metazoa, Chordata, Actinopteri, Perciformes, Serranidae.
UAGAGUACCGCCUCACCCUGGUCCUGAGCCAAGCCCACCUGCUGGAGCCACUCUACAAGUUCACAGCCAAGAAAACACUCCACCAUAGUCCUCUUCCCACACCUGAAAGUCAAAAGAAGCAUUCACCCAAAGAGAACGUGUUUAUUCAAGACAUUUCUCAUCAACCUCUGACCAGAGCUGCGUAUCUGGAAGACCAACCUGUCCAUAGUUGGCCACUGCACAGAAGAACUGCAGCUCCAAGUAGAGUCGACCAGGAACAGGGUUGAAGAGCACCCACAAGCAGCUGGACAGAUUCUGCCGUAACAGGAAUAUAG